This 445-nucleotide ribosomal RNA is filed under the name uncultured soil bacterium. RNAcentral's name for it is "bacterial SSU rRNA". It matches the Rfam family "Bacterial small subunit ribosomal RNA", at positions 26 to 518 of the family's 1533-position model. The record is from RNAcentral.
AGAACGAACGCUGGCGGCAGGCUUAACACAUGCAAGUCGAACGGUUGUAGCAAUACAGCAGUGGCAGACGGGUGAAUAACACGUGGGAACCUUCCUCGUAGUACGGAACAACUCAGGGAAACUUGAGCUAAUACCGUAUACGUCCGAGAGGAGAAAGAUUUAUCGCUAUGAGACGGGCCCGCGUCCGAUUAGCUUGUUGGUGGGUAACGCCUACAAGGCAACGAUCGGUAGCUGAUCUGAGAGGAUGAUCAGCCACACUGGGACUGAGACACGGCCCAGACUCCUACGGGAGGCAGCAGUGGGGAAUCUUGGGACAAUGGGCGAAAGCCUGAUCCAGCCAUGCCGCGUGAGUGAAGAAGGCCUUAGGGUUGUAAAGCUCUUUUGGCAGGGACGAUAAUGACGGUACCUGCAGAAUAAGCCCGCAAACUUCGUGCCAGCAGCCGAC